GGUGACCUGGCGGGACCGGCUGUCGCGGGCCGGGUUCGUGGUCUGGGGCGGCUGGCUGCUGGUCACCGGCGGGGUGUUCAGCGCCAUGCAGGGCAUCU
RNAcentral lists this transfer RNA (98 nucleotides) under Longispora fulva. RNAcentral describes it as "tRNA-Thr". The record is from RNAcentral. Lineage: Bacteria; Bacillati; Actinomycetota; Actinomycetes; Micromonosporales; Micromonosporaceae.